AGAGGAGGAGGAGAAACAAAGAAAAACAGUCUUCCAACCACUCUGGAAGUUUUCUUUACCAGAGCACUGCUCAGCUAUGGCUUACUGCUACAAAGGACUGAAUUUGGGACCUUGGGUUUUCAGACAUGGAAGUCUAUAUGCAUAACGAUUAUGCCAUCUUCUUAGGCCCAUAAAUUGAUGCUCACAUUGCAAAGGUCAAAACAAAGGAAAGGUGUCGCAUAGGCCCAAGAAUUAAGGAGGAAGAGCUUCAAUGAGGAAGAAAGGGAAAUCUACACAGUUUUGUGAUCAGAUAUUUCUUGAGUUCAUCUGCAGUAGGGGCUGACUUGCUUACAAAGCAGUUACCCAACUAGUGUUUUAAACAAAAGGGGCAUUUAAAUCAUUGGAGUGGAUUAAAGUGGUCUAGGAAUGGUGAAGUUGUGCUCGGUAAGAAACAAAACAGAAAAAAGAAAAAGAAAAACCUUAAGAAUUGGCAUUGUACGCUGUUUAGAAACUGUUUCCUGGGCAGCUGAACUCUAUACUCUUUUGUCAUGUGCAUGACCAGGAUUGAACCCAACCACUCAUGGCACUGAAAGAAGCUUUACUACUGUGGUCUCUUUC
Molecule: long non-coding RNA, 597 nt
Organism: Erinaceus europaeus (western European hedgehog)
Lineage: Eukaryota; Metazoa; Chordata; Mammalia; Eulipotyphla; Erinaceidae
Exons: 3
Source: RefSeq, a predicted model, not a curated record